CACACAUCUGGACAUGGACAUGGAGAAGCUGAAGGAGAAUCCAGGGAGGGGGAAAGCAGUUACAGGCCCACAUGCUGCUUCAUGCUGCCAAGGUUCAUCUGGAUCCACAGAUGAGCAACAGCAUGUUUUUUGCACGUCUGAUGACCUAUGGCUCCACCUGGACCCAACAACCAUGCCUGUGACCUCACCUGUGACCAGCACUACAGAAGGACCAUUUCUCACACCCAUAUGAUUGCACCCCCAAUCAAUCAGCAGCAAACACCCAUUGCUCUAUCCACUCCCACCCCUUCCCCCAAACUACCUUUGAAAAAUCCUGCCCCAAAAUGCUCUAGCAGGCUGAUUUGAGUCAGAAUAAAAUACCAGUCUUCCGUUAGCUGGCUCUACGUGUAAAAAUCUCUCUAUUGCAAUUCCCCUGCCUUGAUAAAUUGGCUUCAUCUGGGCAGCAUGCAAGAAUGUAAUCAUUGGGUGGUUACAUUAGGAGGUCCUGUUUUCUACUUUAUAAUCCUUCUGAUUUCUGUAAAAUUGGAAGAAACGUCCCCUCUUUCAUUUCUUAUUUUAGUUAUUUAAUUCUUCUCUCAUUUUUUCUUAAUGUAGCUAAAGAUUUGUAAAUUUUGAUCUUUUUAAA
This 625-nucleotide long non-coding RNA is filed under the name Homo sapiens (human). RNAcentral describes it as "HSALNT0007357". The record is from RNAcentral. Lineage: Eukaryota; Metazoa; Chordata; Mammalia; Primates; Hominidae.